Sphaeramia orbicularis (orbiculate cardinalfish) is the source of this 94-nucleotide long non-coding RNA. RefSeq lists it as uncharacterized. The transcript has 3 exons. The record is from RefSeq and is a predicted model, not a curated record. Lineage: Eukaryota; Metazoa; Chordata; Actinopteri; Kurtiformes; Apogonidae.
AUUUACAUUUUUUCCAGUACAAGUAGGAUUUCUCUACUGCUAAAACUCACUGAAGGAGACACAGAAGAGCAAAAACUAAAGGGCACAUUGUGAU